GUGGGGAAUUUUGGACAAUGGGCGCAAGCCUGAUCCAGCAAUGCCGCGUGCAGGAAGAAGGCCUUCGGGUUGUAAACUGCUUUUGUACGGAACGAAACGGUCCGGGUUAAUACCCUGGGCUAAUGACGGUACCGUAAGAAUAAGCACCGGCUAACUACGUGCCAGCAGCCGCGGUAAUACGUAGGGGGCAAGCGUUAAUCGGAAUUACUGGGCGUAAAGCGUGCGCAGGCGGUUUUGUAAGACAGGCGUGAAAUCCCCGGGCUCAACCUGGGAAUUGCGCUUGUGACUGCAAGGCUGGAGUGCGGCAGAGGGGGAUGGAAUUCCGCGUGUAGCAGUGAAAUGCGUAGAUAUGCGGAGGAACACCGAUGGCGAAGGCAAUCCCCUGGGCCUGCACUGACGCUCAUGCACGAAAGCGUGGGGAGCAAACAGGAUUAGAUACCCGAGUAGUCC
This 450-nucleotide ribosomal RNA is filed under the name uncultured bacterium. RNAcentral describes it as "partial 16S ribosomal RNA". It matches the Rfam family "Bacterial small subunit ribosomal RNA", at positions 354 to 796 of the family's 1533-position model. The record is from RNAcentral.